CUUAGUACGACCCUGUCAAUGGAAGCACACAAUGAGAACAUUGAUAUAAAAUGGGACCAGGCCAGAAUAAUUAAAUCAUUAACUACCUUUUUGAAACCACUAUUAAUGGAAUCCUUGCAGAUACAGAAAGCCACCAGUGAGAGGGACGUCCUCAAUGACAGGCUUACCUUCCAACUCCCCCAAGCUUGGGAAUACUUAAUCAGACAAACUAACAACGAUCCCAGAAAUAAGGACAGAGGACACCGGCCCAAACAUUCAAGAACACCCGCUUAAUAAAUAAUAAAAGGAACAUCAAAGGGAGGCAUAACAAUAAUGUUACCAUUAAUCAAAGGAAAACGCGAAAAGAAAAAUAAUGAUGAUUAACCUUUAUGGACAAUUUUGUUUUGUUAUAGU
This 393-nucleotide long non-coding RNA is filed under the name Androctonus crassicauda. The record is from RNAcentral. Lineage: Eukaryota; Metazoa; Arthropoda; Arachnida; Scorpiones; Buthidae.